UGGGGAAUAUUGCACAAUGGGCGAAAGCCUGAUGCAGCAACGCCGCGUGAGUGAUGACAGUCUUCGGAUUGUAAAGCUCUGUCUUCAGGGACGAUAAUGACGGUACCUGAAGAGGAAGCCACGGCUAACUACGUGCCAGCAGCCGCGGUAAUACGUAGGUGGCAAGCGUUGUCCGGAUUUACUGGGCGUAAAGGGAGCGUAGGCGGAUAUUUAAGUGGGAUGUGAAAUCCUCGGGCUCAACCCGAGUGCUGCAUUCCAAACUGGAUAUCUAGAGUGCAGGAGAGGAAAGGAGAAUUCCUAGUGUAGCGGUGAAAUGCGUAGAGAUUAGGAAGAAUACCAGUGGCGAAGGCGCCUUUCUGGACUGUAACUGACGCUGAGGCUCGAAAGCGUGGGGAGCAAACAGG
RNAcentral lists this ribosomal RNA (404 nucleotides) under uncultured bacterium. RNAcentral describes it as "bacterial SSU rRNA". It matches the Rfam family "Bacterial small subunit ribosomal RNA", at positions 355 to 776 of the family's 1533-position model. The record is from RNAcentral.